UACGUAGGGUGCGAGCGUUGUCCGGAAUUAUUGGGCGUAAAGAGCUCGUAGGCGGUCUGUCGCGUCGGUCGUGAAAACUUGGGGCUUAACCCUGAGCUUGCGGUCGAUACGGGCAUGACUGGAGUUCGGCAGGGGAGACUGGAAUUCCUGGUGUAGCGGUGAAAUGCGCAGAUAUCGGGAGGAACACCGGUGGCGAAGGCGGCGACCUGGGUCGAUACUGACGCUGAUGCGCGAAAGCGUGGGGAGCAAACAGG
Molecule: ribosomal RNA, 254 nt
Filed under: uncultured bacterium
Lineage: Bacteria
Description: partial 16S ribosomal RNA
Rfam family: Bacterial small subunit ribosomal RNA
Source: RNAcentral